This 512-nucleotide ribosomal RNA is filed under the name uncultured bacterium. RNAcentral's name for it is "bacterial SSU rRNA". It matches the Rfam family "Bacterial small subunit ribosomal RNA", at positions 265 to 769 of the family's 1533-position model. The record is from RNAcentral.
UCACCUAGGCGACGAUCCGUAGCGGGUCUGAGAGGAUGAUCCGCCACACUGGGACUGAGACACGGCCCAGACUCCUACGGAGGCAGCAGUGGGGAAUUUUGGACAAUGGGCGCAAGCCUGAUCCAGCCAUGCCGCGUGAGUGAAGAAGGCCUUCGGGUUGUAAAGCUCUUUCGGCCGGGAAGAAAUCGUGGUCUCUAACAUAGGCCAUGGAUGACGGUACCGGACUAAGAAGCACCGGCUAACUACGUGCCAGCAGCCGCGGUAAUACGUAGGGUGCGAGCGUUAAUCGGAAUUACUGGGCGUAAAGCGUGCGCAGGCGGUUUUGUAAGACAGAUGUGAAAUCCCCGGGCUUAACCUGGGAACUGCGUUUGUGACUGCAAGGCUAGAGUACGGCAGAGGGGGGUGGAAUUCCUGGUGUAGCAGUGAAAUGCGUAGAGAUCAGGAGGAACACCGAUGGCGAAGGCAGCCCCCCUGGGCCUGUACUGACGCUCAUGCACGAAAGCGUGGGGAGC